UGAGAGACCGACCGGCCAGAUUGGGACUGAGACACGGCCCAGACUCCUACGGGAGGCAGCAGUGGGGAAUCUUGCGCAAUGGGGGGAACCCUGACGCAGCGACGCCGCGUGCGGGACGGAGGCCUUCGGGUCGUAAACCGCUUUCAGCAGGGAAGAGUCAAGACUGUACCUGCAGAAGAAGCCCCGGCUAACUACGUGCCAGCAGCCGCGGUAAUACGUAGGGGGCGAGCGUUAUCCGGAUUCAUUGGGCGUAAAGCGCGCGUAGGCGGCCCGGCAGGCCGGGGGUCGAAGCGGGGGGCUCAACCCCCCGAAGCCCCCGGAACCUCCGCGGCUUGGGUCCGGUAGGGGAGGGUGGAACACCCGGUGUAGCGGCGGAAUGCGCAGAUAUCGGGUGGAACACCGGUGGCGAAGGCGGCCCUCUGGGCCGAGACCGACGCUGAGGCGCGAAAGCUGGGGGAGCGAACAGGAUUAGAUACCCUGGUAGUCCCAGCCGUAAACGAAGGGCGCUAGGUGUGGGGGGACGAUCCCCCCG
RNAcentral lists this ribosomal RNA (532 nucleotides) under uncultured bacterium. RNAcentral describes it as "partial 16S ribosomal RNA". It matches the Rfam family "Bacterial small subunit ribosomal RNA", at positions 293 to 843 of the family's 1533-position model. The record is from RNAcentral.